Molecule: ribosomal RNA, 510 nt
Filed under: uncultured bacterium
Lineage: Bacteria
Description: bacterial SSU rRNA
Rfam family: Bacterial small subunit ribosomal RNA
Source: RNAcentral
AUCCUGGCUUAGGAUGAACGCUAGCGAUAGGCUUAACACAUGCAAGUCGAGGGGCAGCACGGUGUACGCAAUACACUGGUGGCGACCGGCGUACGGGUGCGUAACACGUAUGCAACCUACCCGCUAGUGGGGGAUAACCCGGCGAAAGUCGGACUAAUAUCCCAUAUUAUCUUACCGGGCAUCCGGUGAGUCUGAAAGAUUUAUCGAUUGCGGAUGGGCAUGCGGAUGAUUAGCUAGUAGGUGGGGUAACGGCUCACCUAGGCGACGAUCAUUAGGGGUUCUGAGAGGAAGGUCCCCCACACUGGAACUGAGACACGGUCCAGACUCCUACGGGAGGCAGCAGUGAGGAAUAUUGGUCAAUGGGCGCUAGCCUGAACCAGCCAAGUCGCGUGAAGGAUGACAGAAUCUAUGGUUUGUAAACUUCUUUUGCAGGGGAGUAAAGUGCGACACGUGUGUUGUAUUGCAAGUACCCUGCGAAUAAGCAUCGGCUAACUCCGUGCCAGCAGCUGC